GACUCCUCAAUUUUGUCAGUUUCUUCUUUCUUAUCUUGCUUUUGCAAAUAAUUCAAAUAUUCUUUGAGCAUCUCGGGAUUCUGCAUCAUUUGCUUUAUCAGAAAGUUGCUUGCAAUUUCCUCGGAUGCCAUAUCUGUCAUCUUUUCUUUAUCUUUCUUUGGAGUGGUUGGAGUAGGUGUAGUUGUUGGAGUAGUAGUUGGCUGUCUUGUCC
Molecule: long non-coding RNA, 211 nt
Filed under: Coffea arabica (coffee)
Lineage: Eukaryota; Viridiplantae; Streptophyta; Magnoliopsida; Gentianales; Rubiaceae
Description: long non-coding RNA (CARA_LNC001806)
Source: RNAcentral